This 1071-nucleotide ribosomal RNA is filed under the name Planorbulina mediterranensis. RNAcentral's name for it is "bacterial SSU rRNA". It matches the Rfam family "Eukaryotic small subunit ribosomal RNA", at positions 1160 to 1816 of the family's 1831-position model. Lineage: Eukaryota; Foraminifera; Rotaliida; Planorbulinidae. The record is from RNAcentral.
AAGGGCACCACAAGAACGCGUGGAGCAUGUGGCUUAAUUUGACUCAACGCGGGAAAUCUUACCGGGUCCGUACACACUGAGGAUUGACAGGCAAUAUCUGAGUUAACAUCUCUGUAUGUUUCUCAGUGUUAAAUAUGCUAGUCCUUUCAUGAUUAUGUGAUAGGUGGUGCAUGGCCGUUCUUAGUUCGUGGAGUGAUCUGUCUGCUUAAUUGCGUUUCACUAAGGUUCUAUAUUUAAUGCAUGUUGUCAGCGCAUUGACCCCUCGUUUUCUUCAUUGAUUACGUAGCGUGUGUCUUUGAUUACGUCUGGCUCGUGCGAUUAGAACCUGAAAGCAACGAACGUGACCGCAACCUCUUGUUGCCUUCAUUUCCAAUUGUUUACGCUAAUAUUUCGAUAUAUGUGUUAUUCAAUACGAAGGCUUUCUAAACUAGAGGGACCGCUGUUAUCUUCUUAAACCAGAGGAAGGUUGCGGCAAUAACAGGUCUGUGAUGCCCUUAGAUGUUCCGGGCUGCACACGUGCUACAAUGAUUAUUGCAGUGAGCAUCUCAUUUAUUAAUACAUCGCAAGCGCGAGUCCGUUUAUUCUAUGUAUCAGUUCAUGCUGUUCGUAGCUUUAAAUGCUGUAUCUCUGCGCGCGAUAAAGCCUGCUUUGAAAGUUUAGUGGGUAAUCAAUUAGAAGUAAUGAUUUCCUUAAUUUAUCGCACUUAUAUAUGCGGCGUCUUUACCCGGCUGGCCUUUUGUGCCAGAUUCUUGUGUGUAUUGACGAUUGCAAACAUUAUGUUUCAAUUGCCUAUUUACGGUACCACAUGUGCAAUUGUCAAUUCAUGGUGGGGACAGACCAUUGUUAAUUGUUGGUCUCGGUCUUAACUAGGAAUGCCUUGUACGGGUCUUUGGUUCAACAGACCACCCGGAAUACGUCCCUGCCCUUUGUACACACCGCCCGUCGCUCUUACCGAUGGACUUCUCUGUGAGUUUGAGGGACUGGGUUACCUUAAAUAACCUAUGGAAACUUAAACGAACAGCGUGGUCUAAAGGAAAGAGAAGUCAUAACAAGGCAUCGGUAGGUGAACCU